AAAAAAGCCAAAGGCAAUGCUUCAACAACACUGAACGCACUUUCAUGGAAGUCCUGCCAUUUUAUGGCAGAGGAGCCUGAGGGGAACUUAGGUAAUGGCUUCUCUUUAGUUAAAGGAAAAGAAUUCUCUGGGCCCCUGGUUGCUGCCACAAAGAGAGACUUCAGAUCUCAAAGGUUGAUUUUACCGUGGCUUUGGAAACGUGAUCUGCAGGUUCUUAAUAGGAGAGUUUGAUUUACGAAAAGAUUCCAGUUUCCUGGAUAUCAACAAAGAAAUUGAAUGAAGGUAGCAAAAUGAUACAAGGAACCAUCCGCUAAUGCCAUGGCAUCCAUUGAAUCUCCCAUGGGCCAGAAAUCUGAAGACCCAUCCUAAGGUCUACUUGAAGAGGUACUCCUCUUGCUUUGGGGAAAUAGAAGCUGGACCUCCACUGCAACCCAGAGGGAGUCUUGCCAGAUUUCCACUCCUUUGGGUCACUCUUUGUUCCCCACCAGCACCCGGACAAUGCCCCGAGUUUCGAGGGACUCUUCUCCUUACCUGUGCUUUUAAGUGAGUAAGAAGUAAUAGUAAUGAUCAAUUAUUUCAAGAGUAAAAUCAUGAUCAUCAUAUAAAAUAAACAUGUUAAAGAUUUUAUUCAACUCAUUUCCUAAUUAGGAAGCCAGUAAGAUAUUACAACCAGCUCAAGGAGAAACCAAAGAGUGGACAUAAGUAUAAGUCCCCAAAAGUGCUGAAAUAGUUUGGCUUAAUAGAUGCAAAACAUGCUUUUUUUCAUGAGGCCUGGAGGGGAUCAAUGACCUCUCAACCAAACAAGGUUAAUCUGCAUGCCUAUGAAUAUGAAUUAUUUUUAUUGCUAUCAGUUACGUAUAAUUUACAGGGUUAUAAAAUCACUCAAAGACAGAGAAACUGUAGAGAUAAUCUGGAAAAGUGUCCUGUGAUGACAUCCUUUUACCUCCUUUGCUCAUUUCAAAGGCAUUCACCACUUUUCUGAUGCUCUUCCCUUAACAUCUUCGGUAGGGGUCCCCUUCCCGUGUCUGGUAGUUUGCGCUACUGGGAUUCCCAAAUAAGAUGUGUUCUGGGCUCCGGACCACCCAGGGAUCAUAGGGUUCUCUGUUGUAUCAAGAUUUCAUGGAUACCAGCCGCUGAGCCACACAGAUCCCUCAAAUCAGAUUUGCGCUGGAUGGGUCUUUCUUCUUCUGCCUUUUAACCACACACAAGAGUUACUGUGUACCUGAGGGGCCUUCGGACACUAAGAAAUAGGAUUUAAUCAUUAUUUGUAGUGACUGCAUGUGAGCCACCACUUUUUUAAUUCUCAAUUUGUGUAACAAAUUUGUCGUAGUCUCCUACGGGAGCCCAAAAAAUAGUUGUAGAUUUUUAAAUCUCUCCAACUGAAGUAAUUCCAGUGCUAAUAACUCUCAAAAUCUGGAUUCAAGCCAAAUUUAUGAGUCGAAAAAAAUGCCCCAGUCCUGAUGCUGUCAAGAAGGCUUCAGAGAUCACAUGGGAAGCUACAUAGUAGGAGGCAAGUGGUCUUUCUCCACAAGUGAGCUGUGGACUGUGAUUGGAGACCCUUGACCUUUUAGGGCCACUUACAUGAUUGCUCUUUUAAGAAAUAAUUUAAGGGGUUUUAUUAAUUCUAGUCUUGACCAAAGUCCUUUGAAGUUCAAAUAAUUCUCCCACUUGACAGGUGAAGCAACUAAGGCUUAGAGAAAUUUGCUCAAGGUCCCAUAACUACUAAGUAACCAUGCUCUGAUGCAUGGCUGAUAUAGCUCGACAUACUCAAUGCAUUCCAUCACUUUCUGCUGCCCCUCUAUAUCCCAGGUGUUUGUGCCAACAUUCUGCAAAUAUUCCUCUCAGCACCCACCAUGUGUAAGACAUUAUAUAGGAAACCCCAUUUAUCUGGCUAUCCGAGAAAGAAACUUCUACCGUAGCCUGAUUCUACCAUAAGCUCCCCAUGCACAUCCAGUUGUGUUCUCAGCUCUAUUUUGAUGUAUUUCUCCACUGCAUCCCUUCCACUCUCUACCCUCACACAUCACCAUAUUCAUCUCGUAUUCAUCUCCAUUAGCCGGAAUAACGCAAUGUUCUUGUCUGGCCUCCCUAAUACUAGCUUCUUCUCAUCUCUCUUUCCUACCCGUGGACCCUCAGUAAUACUGCUGAGCUGUGCAUGUCUCUCCCUUGCUUAAGAAAUCUCAGUGGUGGGGCACCUGGGUGGCUCAGUAGGUUAAGCCAUUGCCUUCGGCUCAGGUCAUGAUCUCAGGGUCCUGGGAUCAAGUUCCCGCAUCGGGCUCUCUGCUCAGCGGGGAGCCUGCUUCCCUCUCUCUCUCUGCCUGCCUCUCUGCCUACUUGUGAUCUCUCUCUGUCAAAUAAAUAAAUAAAAUCUUUUAAAAAAAAUAAAAGAAAGAAAGAAAUCUCAAUGGCUCCCCAGUGACUGCGGGAUAGGUGCAAACUCUUUAGGGUGGCCCAUCAAGGUGUUAAAAAUAUAUCAGCUCAUCUUUCUGGUCACUCUUCAUCUCAGCUACUGAUGAAUCUAUGACCUAGCCACAGCACAUUAGUGCUUAUUUCCAUGGCAUCUCAUCUCCUCAGGCCUCCAUGCUUUUCCCUCAUGCCAUUUUUUUGAAUUACAACAUCCUUCUCUAAUUCCAGGCCCAAUAUCUCCUCUUCUGUGAGACAGUCUCUGAUACCACACCAUUCUCCACGUACCAAGGAAAAUAAUUCUCUCAAUCAGGGUGCGUGUUCCUCUGUUAAAUCAUACACACAGGCCCAGGUUCUACAAUGGUCAUGCUUAUGUUUGUACCCCUGGCUAGACCCUGGUCUCCUCAGGGGAGUCAUUCCACACACCUUAGAAUUUGUGGCAUAAAGCACAGAGACUAGUGUGAGGAGACCCUUAAUCAAUAUGUUGUUGAAAAUCUAAAUUAAUAAACGAACACAUGUUGGACUUGAGGGUGCCAUUUUCAGACUCUUCACCACAUCCCGAUCACUUUAAGACAGAAGGAACAACAAAAACAAAUAACCAGAAAAACAAGAAAGGACAAUUCCAAAGCUUGUGUUCCAGAAAAGCUGUGUACCUCUGAACAUCCCCUUCAACCCCGGUGGUCAGAAAACGGAUUGCCACACUGGGAACCAGUUCUGUGCCAGAACCCGGACCCUUCCCAGCUGCCUUCCGUAAUGCCAUUUGGGCAGCUUGGAAUCCGCCACGAUGGGAGUAGUUUACAGCAUGGAAAUUGGCAAAUGGUGUGAACAAAGGUUGUGGGGAGGUGGGUCCUGUGUGCUGUUCCCGUUUAAAAUUGUACAAGUCACUGAUCGUUAGUGUAUUCACUGCUUUGUGCAACUAUCAAAAUAUCCAAUUUCAGAACAUUUUCAUCACUACCCCAGAAAACCAUACCCCUUAGCAAUCACUUUCCAUUUCCCUCUCCCCUAGAACCCGCAAUAUUUCUGUGUGUGUGUGUGUGUGUGUGUGUGUGUGUGUGUUUUGUUAAAGAACUCGUUGUUAAACACUUAUAAUACACCACUGUUGGGAAACCAUCUGUUCCUAUAAUAACUGUGACUUUUCUCUUUCUUGUUCAAUGCUUUGGUACUUCAAGUACCUAGAGGCCUCCUAAACCCCAAGGUUUCCAUAACAAAGAUUUAUAUACCUUUAAAGAGGAGUUAUUUUAGCUCUCGCUUAAUUCAAUUUAUCCGUCAUAGAAUGAGAUGAAAAAUAGUCAUACAUAGAGAAAAGAUCAGGAGCUAAUAAAUCUUUUAAAAGGCUAGAUCACUUUCUGCCGGAUUAGUAUAUGGGAUUUACUUGUGCAUGAGACAAUAGGCUCUUGUCUAUUUUUAGAUUAGAUAAUGCAUUUCCUAGGACCCACAGGAGGCCUUGGCUUCUCUUAUUACUGAGCACACAUGCAGAGACCAGAGGUUUUAUGAAAGGGAAUAAGAAAAAGACAAGGGGAAAGGAUUGGUGGUUUGCUCUUUUGAUCACUAAAGCAACUCCAUCAGGAAAGAGGAAAUACAAUGCCCGCGAAUUUCCUCCAAGAAGUUCACCACAAAUACAUAUGUGUCAAGAGACACAUAUGCCUUGUACACAUCCACAUGAGUGCACUUGCACCAUGAGAUCAUUUUUAAUGUCCUAAUGACCUGCUGCCCCCAGAACUGUCUCCCCAGAUGUGGGCUUCCAGAUACCAGCUGCAAAUUACUUAUCUAAUUAAAGCCUGCUGAUUGGACUUGUUUUUAAAUCUUCUGUAUUUGCAAGCAGGGAAUGCUGGGCUGUCUAGGGAAGAGUCUAAGCUUUGAACUGAAAGUGUGGCCCAUGGGCCAACAGCGACAGCAUUAUCUUGGAUAUUAUUAGAAAUGCAGAACCUCAGGCCCUAUCCAGAUUUAUUGAGAUCAAUUUUUAUUUUAUCAACAUCCCUGGUAGAUUCACGUAUGCAUUAAUGUUAAGAAGCACCAGAUGAAACAAGUGGUGGACCCUUGACUGGCAUGUGUUCUCACCUCACUGUCUUGAGUUUGUGUGAAGCAAGAACUUGCUGACCCUUCCUUGGCAUUCAUCCAAACGAUUGCUAACCAGGGCUUAGAUGUCUUGGGAAUCCCAUUCCAUUUCAAGCUUUAGUUUUGGAGCUGAAACAAAAGGCUUAUUUUCUGUGCAGAUUGGAACCCUACUGACUGCAGAAAGGUCAAUGGCCCAUCUUCAGGGAUCAAUGGAACAUUUUACUUAAAAUGAAGUUUUAGCAAGAGGAAACUAAUAUGCUCAUUACAGAAAAGCUAGAGAACUAUGGAAAAGCAAAUUUAUAUCACCUGACUUUCUACCUCUGAGUAUUAAGCACUUAGUAUUUUGGCACUUUUUUGUGUUACUUCCUGUUUCCAGCAGAAUUCUUUAUUUUACACAACUGGAAGAGUAAAGUAUAUGGAGUUUGCAUCUUGGUUGGGUUGUUUUUUUUUUUUCCCCCGCAUGUCAUGAUUAUUCUCUUAUUCCUAAAAAUUCUUCAACAAGAUGAUUUUAAUGAUCUUUUCUUCUUACGUCACUAAACCAUAUUUUGUUGAAGUAGUCUCAUAUUCUUGAGUAUUUUAAAUGUUUUCUAACCUUUAUAAAUGGCAUUAUGAUUAAGACUCUUAUGUAUAAAUCUUUUUCUGAUUCUUUUUUUUUGUUUGUUUAAGUAGGCCCCACACCCACUGUGGAGCUUGAUCAAGCACUACAGAGGACUUCGCUAUCCCUGGCACCCCAACAACAAUUUUUUUUUUCCAGUCAGGACACACCUCACAACCACUGCUCUUCAAAAAGCCAAAACCUCCGCUCCCACCCACCAAAAGAAAAAUAAAGGAUUU
Mustela putorius furo (domestic ferret) is the source of this 5289-nucleotide long non-coding RNA. Ensembl lists it as uncharacterized. NCBI's taxonomy places the organism in Eukaryota, Metazoa, Chordata, Mammalia, Carnivora, Mustelidae. The record is from Ensembl.